GUUUCUGGCUUUAACUACCGCAUCAGAAGAAAUUGUUGGUCUACCUAAAAGAUGGAUUCAUUUCCCCUCCUAACACUUUCUCUCAGAAAGAGCAGCAAGUUAAUGUUGAUUAGAAGGCCCAGAAAUCGUCACGAAAUACAGACCAAGAGGGAUGCACUGAAAAACAAACAUGAUUUGAGGAAAUACAUACACCUGGAAAUAAUACAGAACAUUGUCCACAUUCCACUCAGGAGCAGCAGCAGUUGGCAGGAGGGAGCAGUACAACCUCUGACGGCCACUGAUGGGUCAGGUUCCCCACAUGGAGAUGGACCAGCGGGAACCUGCCCUGUGCGCCCUCAUGCCCUGGGACAAAUGAGGCGCUGGAACAAUAUCAGAACCGACACCCCUGAGCCAAUGCAUCUGAGCUUUGGGGCUCUGGCUGCGCUCCAGGCUGCUCAGAGGAAACGGCCUCGCAGGCGUCCACGGGUUUCUUGAAGUGGGUGAAUCUCAGUCUCUGGUAAGUCCUGUCCACACUCCUCUCGGCAGCUGCUUUUUCGUGAAGGCUGAAAAGCCCGGGGCGCCCCUCUGCGAGGGCUGUGGCCUCUGCUCUGACUCCAUAAAGAGCCGCUGUGAUGUCACCGGCAGAGCCCCCCGGAGCCCUGCCCGGAAUGCGGCUGUGGGGGUAGAGCCGGGAGCUGGGACAGUGACUGUGGACCUGGAGGGAGAGGCCGUGUGCUGGUUCAUUGGGUUUUCUUUGGGUUUAGUUGU
Talpa occidentalis (Iberian mole) is the source of this 747-nucleotide long non-coding RNA. RefSeq lists it as uncharacterized. The record is from RefSeq and is a predicted model, not a curated record. Lineage: Eukaryota; Metazoa; Chordata; Mammalia; Eulipotyphla; Talpidae. The transcript has 4 exons.